Molecule: microRNA precursor, 175 nt
Filed under: Podarcis lilfordi (Lilford's wall lizard)
Lineage: Eukaryota; Metazoa; Chordata; Lepidosauria; Squamata; Lacertidae
Source: RNAcentral
AUUUAGCGAGCUGAGUGGGGAGGAGAGAGGGACAGAGAGCAUGGUUGCUUUAAAGGAGCCAACCGGACAGGAGCCGCUUACACUCAUGUAAGUAGCUCCUCUCCUCUCCCGCUUUGCUCCUUUAAAGCAAGCAGGCUCUCUGUCCCUCUCUCCUCCCCACUCAGUGGCUCUUCUC